GUGCUCGCUUUGGCUGCAUGGACACUAAAAUUAGAACUAUACAGAGAAGAUUAGCAUGACCCCUGCACAGGGUUGACACGCAAAUCUGUGAAGCAUUCCAUAUUUAA
Molecule: small nuclear RNA, 107 nt
Organism: Acomys russatus (golden spiny mouse)
Lineage: Eukaryota; Metazoa; Chordata; Mammalia; Rodentia; Muridae
Source: RefSeq, a predicted model, not a curated record